AGUCGAACGGACUUUAUGGGAUUAAUUCUUCGGAAAGCGUCCUGUAAAGUUAGUGGCGGACGGGUGAGUAACGCGUGAGCAACCUGCCUUUGAUAGGGGGAUAACAGAGGGAAACUUCUGCUAAUACCGCAUAAAGCAUGGGGAUCGCAUGGUCUCGAUGCCAAAGGAGCAAUCCGAUCAAAGAUGGGCUCGCGUCCGAUUAGAUAGUUGGUGGGGUAACGGCCUACCAAGUCGACGAUCGGUAGCCGGACUGAGAGGUUGAACGGCCACAUUGGAACUGAGAGACGGUCCAGACUCCUACGGGAGGCAGCAGUGGGGAAUAUUGGGCAAUGGACGAAAGUCUGACCCAGCGACGCCGCGUGAGGGAAGAAGGUCUUCGGAUUGUAAACCUUAGUCAACAGGGAAGAAGAAAGUGACGGUACCUGUGGAGGAAGCCACGGCUAACUACGUGCCAGCAGCCGCGGUAAUACGUAGGUGGCGAGCGUUAUCCGGAUUUACUGGGUGUAAAGGGUGUGUAGGCGGGAAGGCAAGUCAGAUGUGAAAACUAUGGGCUCAACCCAUA
This 562-nucleotide ribosomal RNA is filed under the name uncultured bacterium. RNAcentral's name for it is "bacterial SSU rRNA". It matches the Rfam family "Bacterial small subunit ribosomal RNA", at positions 60 to 618 of the family's 1533-position model. The record is from RNAcentral.